GUGCUUGCAGCGGCAGCAUAUACACUAAAACUGUAACGAUACAGAAAUUAGCAUGGCUCCUGCACGGAGAUGAAAACUGUGAAGCAAAGCUCUGAAUCUCUUCUUU
Small nuclear RNA from Tachysurus fulvidraco (yellow catfish), 106 nucleotides. Lineage: Eukaryota; Metazoa; Chordata; Actinopteri; Siluriformes; Bagridae. The record is from RefSeq and is a predicted model, not a curated record.